This 867-nucleotide ribosomal RNA is filed under the name uncultured archaeon. RNAcentral describes it as "bacterial SSU rRNA". It matches the Rfam family "Archaeal small subunit ribosomal RNA", at positions 52 to 923 of the family's 1478-position model. The record is from RNAcentral.
UGCGAGUCGAGAGGGUUCGGCCCUCGGCUGACGGCUCAGUAACACGUGGAUAAUCUGCCCUAAGGUGGAGGAUACCCUUGGGAAACUGAGAAUAAUACUCCAUAGGUCUAGGAGGCUGGAAUGCAUCUAGGCUCAAAACUCCGGUGCCUUAGGAUGAGUCCGCGGACUAUCAGGUUGUAGUCAGGGUAAUGACCUGACUAGCCUUCGACGGAUACGGGUUGUGAGAGCAAUAACCCGGAGACGAUAUCUGAGACACGAUAUCGGGCCCUACGGGGCGCAGCAGGCGCGAAACCUUCACACUGUGCGAGAGCACGAUGAGGGAAUCCCAAGUGCUGGCACGUAAGUGUCAGCUGUUUCUUUGUCUAAAAAACAGAGAGAGUAAGGGCUGGGUAAGACGGGUGCCAGCCGCCGCGGUAAUACCUGCAGCCCAAGUGGUGACCGCUAUUAUUGGGCCUAAAACGUCCGUAGCCUGUUUGGUAAAUGCCUGGGUAAAUCGUGUGGCUUAACCAUACGAAUGCCGGGUAGACUGCCAGGCUUGAGACCGGGAGAGGUCAGAGGUACUCCUGGGGUAGAGGUGAAAUUCUGUAAUCCUAGGGGGACCACCAGUGGCGAAGGCGUCUGACUAGAACGGGUCUGACGGUGAGGGACGAAGCCCUGGGGCGCAAACCGGAUUAGAUACCCGGGUAGUCCAGGGUGUAAACGCUGCUCGCUUGAUGUUAGCUAGGCUCCGAGCCUCGCUAGUGUCGGAGAGAAGUUGUUAAGCGAGCUGCCUGGGAAGUACGGUCGCAAGGCUGAAACUUAAAGGAAUUGGCGGGGGAGCACAGCAACGGGUGGAGCGUGCGGCUUAAUUUGGAUUCAACGCCGGAA